GGUGAGGUGGCCGAGAGGCUGAAGGCGCUCCCCUGCUAAGGGAGUAUGCGGUCAAAAGCUCCCCGCCUCACCGCCA
This 76-nucleotide transfer RNA is filed under the name Klebsiella michiganensis. RNAcentral describes it as "tRNA-Ser". Lineage: Bacteria; Pseudomonadati; Pseudomonadota; Gammaproteobacteria; Enterobacterales; Enterobacteriaceae. The record is from RNAcentral.